Molecule: ribosomal RNA, 200 nt
Filed under: uncultured bacterium
Lineage: Bacteria
Description: partial 16S ribosomal RNA
Rfam family: Bacterial small subunit ribosomal RNA
Source: RNAcentral
ACGCUCGACACCUACGGGAGCAGCAGUGGGGAAUAUUGGGCAAUGGAGGAAACUCUGACCCAGCAACGCCGCGUGAAUGAUGAAGGUCUUUGGAUUGUAAAGUUCUUUUCUAAGGGACGAAGAAAGUGACGGUACCUUAGGAAUAAGCCUCGGCUAACUACGUGUCAGCAGCCGCGGUAAUCUGAGCGGGCUGGCAAGGC